AGCUAGUCGCUGUAGGAAAAUCCGCAGCGGCGUUUUGACGCGAGGUGCGAUGCCAGCUGGCGUAUGCCGGCAAGUCUCUGAUUCCAUGCCUCCAAGAAAAGCCUCUAGGCAGGAUUCGCGUGCCUGUACCGAUAACCGACACAGGUGGACAAGUAGAGAAUACUAAGGUGAGCGAGCUAACUCUCGUUAAGGAACUCGGCAAAAUCGUCCCGUAACUUCGGGAGAAGGGACGCCCCGUUAGAGUGAACUCCAUCCGGAGGGAGCUCGAGGGGGCCGCAGUGAAUUGGUCCAACCGACUGUUUACCAAAAACACAGGGCUCUGCUAAGUCGUAAGACGACGUAUAGGGUCUGACGCCUGCCCGGUGCCGGAAGGUUACGUGGACUUGUUAGCUCUUCGGAGCGAAGCAGCGAAACUAAGCCCCGGUAAACGGCGGCCGUAACUAUAACGGUCCUAAGGUAGCGAAAUUCCUUGUCCGGUAAGUUCCGACCUGCACGAAUGGCGUAACGAGUUGGACGCUGUCUCAACGAGAGGCUCGGUGAAAUUAAAGUCUCGGUGAAGAUGCCGAGUACCCGCAGCUAGACGGAAAGACCCCGUGAACCUUUACUGCAACUUGAUAUUGGAGUUUGGGGUAUCUCGCUCAGGAUAGGUGGGAGACUUUGAACCAGCGACUUUGGUUGUUGGGGAGUCACCCUUGAGAUACCACCCUUGGUGCUCUGAGCUUCUAACACCGCGCCGUGAUCCGGGCGGUGAACAGUGUCAGGUGGGCAGUUUGACUGGGGCGGUCGCCUCCUAAAAUGUAACGGAGGCGCCCAAAGGUUCCCUCAGCACGGUUGGAAAUCGUGCGUAGAGUGUAAAGGCAAUAAGGGAGCUUGACUGCGAGACCGACAGGUCGAGCAGGAACGAAAGUUGGGCUUAGUGAUCCGGCGGUAGCAAGUGGAAGCGCCGUCGCUCAACGGAUAAAAGGUACUCCGGGGAUAACAGGCUUAUCGGUUCCAAGAGUCCACAUCGACGAACCGGUUUGGCACCUCGAUGUCGGCUCGUCGCAUCCUGGGGCUGGAGUAGGUCCCAAGGGUUGGGCUGUUCGCCCAUUAAAGCGGUACGCGAGCUGGGUUCAGAACGUCGUGAGACAGUUCGGUCCCUAUCUGCUGUGGGCGUUGGAGAGUUGAGAGGAGUCAUCCCUAGUACGAGAGGACCGGGAUGAACGUGCCUCUGGUGUAUCUGUUGUCCUGCCAAGGGCAUCGCAGGUUAGCUACGCACGGAACGGAUAACCGCUGAAAGCAUCUAAGCGGGAAGCCGUCCUCGAGAUGAACUCUCCCAUCCCUUUAAGGGAGUAAGACCCCUGGUAGACCACCAGGUUGAUAGGCCAGCGGUAGAAGUCCAGUAAUGGGCGUAGCCGACUGGUACUAAUGGUUCGAGGGCUUGACGG
This 1427-nucleotide ribosomal RNA is filed under the name metagenome. Its description in RNAcentral is "bacterial LSU rRNA". It matches the Rfam family "Bacterial large subunit ribosomal RNA", at positions 1522 to 2925 of the family's 2925-position model. The record is from RNAcentral.